AGAGAAUUGCUUGAACCCGGGAGUUGGAGGUUGCAGUGAGCUAAGAUUGCGCCACUGCACUCCAGCCUGGGCAACAAGA
Molecule: small nuclear RNA, 79 nt
Filed under: Homo sapiens (human)
Lineage: Eukaryota; Metazoa; Chordata; Mammalia; Primates; Hominidae
Description: partial ncRNA
Source: RNAcentral